AAGAACGCCCCGUUUUUUGAAAUGGGUAAUUCCCAAACCGUGUCUAUAUAUACCUUUGUUGCUUUGGCAGGUCGCCUUCUAGGCGUCGGCUCCGGCUGACUGCGCCUGCCAGAGGACCCCAAACUCUGAAUGUUAGUGUCGUCUGAGUACUAUAUAAUAGUUA
This 163-nucleotide unclassified non-coding RNA is filed under the name uncultured Cadophora. Its description in RNAcentral is "sequence contains ITS1". The record is from RNAcentral. Lineage: Eukaryota; Fungi; Ascomycota; Leotiomycetes; Helotiales.